This 373-nucleotide unclassified non-coding RNA is filed under the name soil metagenome. RNAcentral's name for it is "partial contains 5.8S ribosomal RNA, internal transcribed spacer 2, and large subunit ribosomal RNA". The stretch from base 1 to 121 matches the Rfam family "5.8S ribosomal RNA", at positions 35 to 154 of the family's 154-position model. The record is from RNAcentral.
GAUGAAGAACGCAGUGAAAUGCGAUAAGUAAUGCGAAUUGCAGAAUUCCAGUGAGUCAUCGAAUCUUUGAACGCACAUUGCGCCCUUUGGUAUUCCGAAGGGCAUGCCUGUUCGAGCGUCAUUAUCACCCCUCAAGCCCUCGGCUUGGUGUUGGACGGUUUGGUGGAGGCCCCCUCGGGGGCUCCUGCCCCUCCCAAAGACAAUGACGGCGGCCUCGUUGGACCCCCGGUACACUGAGUUCUUCACGGGACACGUAUCGGACACAUGGGUUUACGGAACACGGUCUGCCUCCCCUCAGGGAGAAUCUUUCUAAGGUUGACCUCGGAUCAGGUAGGGAUACCCGCUGAACUUAAGCAUAUCAAUAAGCGGAGGA